GGAACAGUGGGAAGUUUCUGUGCAGAACAGGAUUCUUGGAGAGGAUGCACCACUGCCAGGAUAUGGUGCUCUUCAAUGAAAGGUUGAACAAACUACCACUGCGUAGCCUAACGGAGCAAAAAAGAUGAGGUGUUUGGUUUACUUGCGGGGCAACAGAAGUUACUCUGCAGUUUGCAGUGCGGGUGAGCAGCAAAACAGCUUGUGGAAUUUCUGAACACACCCUGGCUCCUGUGGUUACUUUCGAUUCUCAGGACUGAGGCUCCUACUCAAUGCCACACACAGAUUUCCAGCUGGUGUUAAGGCGCACACACUGCCCUCCGAGGCACCUCACUCCCAGGAACAUGACCUCUUGGAGUGAUGCCUCAUGGCUGUGGGCACCCUGCAUUGCCCAGGGGUUGACUGCCAGUGCCCAGCACCCUGCCGCCAGACCUGCCCUCCCCCUCCCAGACCCCGGGGACUGGUGCCCAUGCUUGGACUCUAUCCAGCAGGAGCACACUCUGGCUGGCACUUGGGAGCAAGCCCAGGCAGCCCCUUCAUGUUUUGUCUGAGUCUUGACUCAGCUGGAGAUUCUCUCAAUCUAUGGAACUGAUGCUGGAGCUAAAGAAGAAAGAACACCUGCUCUCUGCAUGACCUGAAGAAAUUCAGCCUUCCUACCAAAGUCUCCUCUGCUGUUGAAAAGCUUUGUAAGAUUUUGCAUAAAUGGGUGUGUGAUUGAAAAAGGCCUUGCUGCAAAGCAGCCAGGGCUGCUGGAUCUUUGUACGUGGGAGCAAAGCCCUGUAUAAUGGAAGAGAGGUGAGGUGAGUUUUUUCUGGAGUCUCUGUGAUUUACUAACCCGAGUAAAAGAAAACUUAAAAAUGACAUCUGUAGCGUGCAUGAUAAGAAGGAAGGAUGGAAGACACGCACUAUGUGGAUUUUUUAUUUAAUGACAAAGAUGUUUUCAUUGUAUCAGUUCCUGCAUUAGAAGAGCUAGUGUGGCACAUUUGCUUAUGGAGUCCUUGUAGCUUCUGCAGGUUGCCUUCCAAGCACCAUUGUGUUGCUGUGCUGCUUCAGCUCCUCUUCUUUGCAGGUUUUUAGCAUUAGAAAAGGCUUGCAAUCAUUGCAGAGCAUAAGGGACAUAACUUUUACUUAGCACUGCAUGUUUUUAUAUGGAAAACUUGCACACAUGUAUACAUAUAAAUACACACACAUAAACAAAGCUCUGUAUACACACACACAGAGGUGCUUUUAUACAAGGGAGAAAUUCCAUUUACAGUAGCCUAGAAUUUAAUUACCCAGCAACACCUUUGUAAUUCAACACUAUACAAAAUUCAUCAGGUGUGUAUUAGAUCAUUUGCUGUUGUUGUUGUUGUUCAAGUAUUCUUCAUGGUAUAUUUCAUAGAAUCUUAACACCAGAGAUUUCACUUUGAAAAACGCAACAUUCCAUAAGUUUCAUGUAAGUAAAACACUACAUCACUUAGGUAACACAGGGGCAUACCAUAUCAUUAUUUCUUCUUCCUAUACCUGGAUGUGGGGAGUGAAGGUGAUGAGAUUUGCAUGAAGAACAGUUUGGGAAUGAGAUCUGAGGUCUUGGUGGUUUGACAAGCCCUGGGGCAAUGAGUUGGGAUGUGUAAAGCCAGAGGAUGUGUGGGCUGUGAGAGGGUCUGCAACACUGUGAUUGGACUAUUUACCUGGAGAGUUUUACAGGGGCCAAUGAGAUUGAAUGUUGUAUGUAUGUGCAGGUUGGGAAAAUACUGAACAAGGGGAUAAAAAGGGCUUAGUUGUAAUAAAGUGGGAUUUGAGUCUCUA
Molecule: long non-coding RNA, 1785 nt
Organism: Melopsittacus undulatus (budgerigar)
Lineage: Eukaryota; Metazoa; Chordata; Aves; Psittaciformes; Psittaculidae
Exons: 4
Source: RefSeq, a predicted model, not a curated record